GUUGAUCGUACAAAUAAACAAAGCCAGGCGCACCCCGCGCUCCCCGCCGGAAAGCAGCCCAUUCCGGACGAGGACAACUUCCCCCAGCAAGAAAAUUAACACAUUCUCGCGGCGGUUCAGCCCCUCGCUCUGGGGAAGUAAAGGGGAGGGGGGCUCGGGGCUGAACUUCACGGGUAAAUUUGGGGCCAGAGCAGCGAGGCAGGCGUCUGGAACACCCGCCUCCCACAGCUCCGCAGCUAGAGGAACACCCCCAUUCUCCCUCCUGGCUUUGCAUGCUGCUUGGCCACGCGGGGCUCGGGAGACAGCCUGGAAGACUCCCCAAGGCUGGGGCGGAAGGGAGACACAGAGGCGGCGGGGAGGAGUGAUGGUGGUGGGGGGAGUGAUACUUGACGGGAAAAAAAGGGUCAAACUUGAUCAGCCCGCCAGGCACCCCGCGGGCAGCGGGAGUGAGGAGCCGGAGGGUAAAUGUAGAAGUGGCCGUCGACCUCGCUAAGUGAAGGCGGAGGCUCAGCCACGCGUGCUCCCGGGCCUUACGAGCAAUUAUCAUCGCCCCCAAAACACAGGGCUGCGAAUGGGGUCUGCUGGGGGGAGUGCGCGCCGGAGAUCUCCAAUCAGCCGCCCCCGCAGGCGGAGCGCCCGCCCAACGCCGAGAGUGAUCUGCGACCGAGCUGACUGCGGCUUGGGGAGGCUUGAGUAUAGCAGAGGCCACUGAGCGAUCACCGGAGCUAGGGCUCCCAGCCUCCGGGACUCCGGGACUCUGGUUACGGGCGCCCCCCGCCCCACCCAAACACGGACCCCUCCUUUCCCGUCCCUGGCUCUCCGCACCUGAACUUCGGGGGAGCCCGCGCCGCCAAACUUUCCGCCGACUUGCAGCGAACUCCGGCCCCGGCCGCGCACCGGGCCCCGGGGGAGGAGAGGGAGGCUCCUGGCCCCAGUCAGACUCCCAAGAGGCUCUUCAACACAAAGCUCUAUGUUUGGGAGCCACCACAUGACAAACCUGACUAGCUGAAAGCUGGAAUGACCUUAAGCACUUCAGUCUUCCUGUGGAUCUAUCUCAUCAAACAACCUAAUGAAGAUGUUUUAAAGUAUAAAAAACAAAAUA
Long non-coding RNA from Camelus dromedarius (Arabian camel), 1102 nucleotides. RefSeq lists it as uncharacterized. The record is from RefSeq and is a predicted model, not a curated record. The transcript is spliced from 3 exons. Lineage: Eukaryota; Metazoa; Chordata; Mammalia; Artiodactyla; Camelidae.